CUCCGCGGAGGGGGCGGCCGAGGGUGGAGCGGCGGUAGCUCCGCGGACCGGGGCGAGGGAAGAUCGGUUCCGCCGCCCCCUGGGCGCCCCUCGCCGCCUGAACCGGCCGGCCCGGAAGCCGUACCCUCAUCCCCUUCUCUCUCCCUCCACCAUGUUCAAGAAGCUGAAGCAGAAGAUCAGCGAGGAGCAAGUGCUGCCGCGCGGAGCGGGGGGACGCGCGGGCUCCCUCCCACCGCAGGUCCCUUCCAAAUCCCCUCCGUCAACUGGCAACAUAAUCAGGACAACUUCAUUUACAGAUCAGAAUGAUGAAGGCACUUUAACACCAGACAAAGAGCUGAUAGCCGGGAUGAUAGCAGAACCUGCUUUUCUCUCUGAGUAUACUAUCUUUGCUUUGGAUCCCACCAAACAACCUAAGCCACAGACUGAUGGUGUGAACUUGAAUAAACAACCACUUCCUGGAUCCACAGAAAACAAUGGAAGUGAACUUGUCUUUCCACAGCAAAGUGACAGUCAGUCUUUUGCCCAGAGGCUUCAGCUUCGAGUUCCCUCCAUGGAGUCUUUGUUUCGAAGCCCAGUUAAAGAGACCCUAUUUCGCUCUUCUUCUAAAGAGUCCUUGGUACGAAGUUCUUCAAGAGACUCACUGAAUCGACAGGACUUGGAAGCCCUCAGUCCCACCUUUGAUUCACCUUCUGACAUUGAAAGUGAAACAGAAGAGCCUCUAGGAAAUAUGGACAGCUUCAGCAAAGAGCAGUUGCUGCAGCGUCUGCGUAGAAUGGAGCGCAGUUUGGGCAACUAUAGGGGAAAAUACUCAGAGCUAGUGUCCGCUUAUCAAGUUAUCCAGCGGGAAAAAAAGAAGCUACAGAGCAUUCUGAGUCAAAGCCAGGAUAAAGCACUUCGCAGAAUUGGAGAACUGAGAGAGGAGCUCCAGAUGGAUCAACAAGCUAAGAAACAUCUCCAAGAGGAAUUUGAUGCUUCCUUAGAAGAAAAGGAUCAACUUAUUAGUGUCUUACAAACUCAGGUGUCAUUGCUGAAACAGAGAUUACAGAAUGGUCAGAUAGGCACUGAAUUGCCUGAUCAAAAUGUCCAAUCAGAACCAGAAGUUCAAAGUCCAAUGAAAGAAGUCAAUGCAGAAAAUAUUGUGGAACCAGGAAGCAAUGAGGGUAAUGAAGAUUCUGUUAAAACACUGGAAACUCUUAGUCAGAGGGUGAAGCGCCAAGAGAACUUGCUGCAACGUUGUAAGGAGACUAUUCGGUCACAUAAGGAGUGCUGUGCUCAAUUAACCAACGAGAAAGAGGCACUUCAAGAACAACUGGAAGAGAGGCUUCAGGAACUGGAGAAAAUAAAGGACCUUCACAUGGCUGAGAAGACUAAACUGAUUACGCAGCUACGUGAUGCAAAGAAUUUGAUUGAACAGCUAGAACAAGACAAGGGUAUGGUAAUUGCGGAGACAAAGCGGCAAAUGCAUGAAACAUUAGAAAUGAAGGAGGAGGAGAUAGCCCAACUGCGUGCUCGAAUCAAACAAAUAACUACAAAAGGCGAGGAAUUAAAAGAACAGAAAGAAAAAUCUGAAAAAGCUGCUUUUGAAGAGCUUGAGAAGGCUCUAAGUAUUGCCCAAAAGACAGAGGAAGCCCGGAAAAAACUGCAGACAGAAAUGGAUGAAAAAAUUAAAGCAGUAGAAAAGGCAAGUGAAGAAGAGAGAGUAAAUCUUCAGCGGGAAUUAACCAGAGUCAAACAAGAGGUGGUUGAGAUUAUGAAGAAGUCUUCAGAGGAACGAGUUGCUGAACUAGAAAAAAUCCAUAAAAAAGAACUGGCUACCAAAGAUCGGGAGCUAAAUGAGAGACUACAAGCUCAAGAAAAGGUACUUCAGGAGAAGAUGAAGGCAGCUCUUGAAAAAAAUCAGAAUGAGUGCUUAAAAGCCCUUCAAGAGCAAGAGCAGCAAGAAUCCCUAGCCUUAGAAGAAUUAGAGCUGCAGAAGAAAGCCAUACAGUCUGAGUGUGACAAGAAAGUUCAGAACAUGCAUCAAGAAGUAGAGGCUUGUAGAACUAGGAUUCUUGAACUGGAAAGCUGUCUUGCAAAGUAUUUGCAAGAUGACAGAAAGCAGUCAGAGGAAUUAAAUACUCUUAUAGAGUCUGAAAAAAACCAGCACAGUAAGGAAAUCAAUGACAUAGUUGAGAAACACAAUAAAGAACUAGAGAACAUGAAACAACAGCAAGAAAAGCUUUGGACAGAAAAACUUGAAAUUUUAAAGCAACAACAUAAAACUGAAAUAGAAAAAAUAAGAGAGAAACAACAAGAAGAGAUACAAGCAAUUUUGAAAGAAAAAGAAACAAUUUUCUGUGCGCACAUAGAGGAGAUGAAUGAAAAAACAUUAGAAAAACUUGAUGUGAAACAAACAGAAUUAGAAGCACUGUCUUCUGAGCUAUCAGAAGCACUAAAAAUACGUCAUGAUUUAGAACAAGAGCUCUCAGAAUUAAAUAGUAAUGUGUGUGAAGCAAAGCAAGAAUUGAAAGGAAAGUUGGAAGAAGAGAGGAAACGUCACAAAGAAGUGAUUGAAACAAUGUUAAAAGAGCAUGAAAUGUCAAUUCAAAGUGUUGAGAAGGUACUCAAAGAGGAGCUCAACAAACUCAAACAGUCACUGGAGGAGAAAGACAAACAUUUAGAGGCGUUAAAAGCACAGGAACGGAAAAUGAAAGAAUCUGCAGAAAGAUCUGAAGCUGAACUUUUGCAAAUGUCUGUAAAACUAGAGGAGCAAAGCAAUGAAAAUACACAGAAAGUAACCACUAUAACACAACAAUAUGAAUGUCAACUGAAGGACCUAGAAAGAAAGGCUGAUGAGAUGAUGGUAAGUCUGACUGAAAAGGAAAAUGAAAUGGAGCACGUGAAGAAGUUACAGAACAAGCAAAUGGAAGAGCUUAAACAGAAACUGUUAGCUGCAGAGGAGAGAAUUAGUGCUAUACAAGGAGAGUAUGAAAGUAAACUGAAAUGUCAGGAGAAGAAAGUGGAGAAAAUGAAACAGAAAUCAAAAGAUAUGCAGGAAACUUUCCAAAAUAAACUUGCUGAGCAGGAAGCUAAACUAAAAAAAGAGCUUGAAAACAAGCAGUUGGAAUUCAGUCAGAAAGAGAGUGAAUUCAAUACUAAAAUUUUGGAAAUGGCACAUGCCAGCUCAUCUGGAAUCAAUGAUGCAGUGUCAAAAUUGGAAUCUAAUCAGAAAGAGCAACUAGACAGUCUUGCUGAGGACCACAGGAGGAAAUUGGAAGAAGUAAUCCAAAUUUGGGAAAAGAAACUUAAUCAGCAGAUUGAAGAGCUCAAGGAAAAACAUGAUAUGGAACUGCAAGAGAAAGAGCAGGAAGUUGGAGACCUGAAACAGAAGCUUUUCAUCUUCAGUGCUGAAAAGGAGGACUCCAGAGCAGAAAUAAUCCAACUGAAGGAAGAACAAGUGAAAAGGGAGGAGUGCCUGAAGGAAUUGCAAGAACAGCUGAGGCAGUCAGUGGCUAAGGUGAAUGCUUUGUCAGAUAAGGAAAGUGACCUGAAAACACAGUUGGAAAAAUUGGAAAGUGAUCUUAAACAGUCCCUGAAACAGCAGACAGGACUUCAGGAACAGCUCAGUAAACAGAAAGGAGUUGAAGAAAAGGACAAAGCCAAAAUUACUGAGUUGGCUGAUACACUGAGAACCCUUGAAGAGAAACUCCAAACUGUGCAAUCUUCUCAGUAUAAAGAUAAUGAAAAUUAUGAGAAAAAAAUAGAGGCAAUUCGGCUAAAGGAAAUUGAGUUUAAAAAGUUGUCAAGAGAACUUAAAGCCCAGAUAGAUGCUUGUAAGAAUGCUAAAGCUGCAUUUCAAACGAAGACCAAUGAAUUCAUUGAAAAAUGUAGUGAAAAAAUUGACAUAGUAACAUGUCAAAUUGCAGACUGUGAGCGCCAAACUGCAAAAGUUAAAGAAGCAAUAUUAAUCAAAACAAGUAAGAUAACUGAACUAGAAGCUCAAAUAAGAGAAAUAACAGAGCAAUAUUCUGCUGCUACAACUUCUUUGCAAAAGUCAAUGCAAGAACUGCAGGAGAAGGAAAAUUUAAUUAUGUCCAUGAGAGCUGAUAUUGAAGAACUUGUAACAGAAAAGGAACGAUUGCAAAAAGAGGGAGGACAUCAACAGCAAGCAGCAUCAGAGAAAGAAAGUUGCAUAACACAGCUGAGGAAAGAGUUAUCUGAAAAUAUUAAUGCUGUCACAUCAAUGAGGGAAGAACUCCAAGAAAAACAAUCUGAAGUGUCUGCUCUCAACAAAACAGUUACUGACCUUAAUGUUAGACUUGAAAGCACAGUAAGUUUAACAGAGAAGGAAGCAGUCAUAUCUCUCUUAAGCAAACAACAUCAAGAGGAUCGGUUGCAGUUGUUAAGUCAAGUAGAAGAGUUAUCAUCCAGAGUUGAGAUGCUGAGUCAAGAAAAAGCAUCAGCUCUUGAUCAGAUAGAUCAUUUCACAGCGCAGCUGUCAGAGUGGAAGAUGAAAGCAGAAACCAGGUUUACACAAAAUCAUGCUACUAUCAAAGAUUUGCAGAGCAAACUUGAAUUAAGCAAUGCUGAAGCCAAUAAAAAAGAUGAAGAGCUAAAUAAACUGAAGGAACAGCUGGCUAAACAAAGCAGGAAUCUUGAUAGUUUAAAAAGUGAAUUGGAACAAAAGCAAAACAGGAGAGAAAAGGAAGAAAAUCAGUUAACCUCAAAGUUAAAAAAACAAGCAGCAAAAAUUGCUGAACUAGAAAAAGACAUUGCUCAGAAAACUUUAGAAAAUGAUUCCUUGGUGGAGGAACUUAACAAGUGUAAUGAACAAAAAAACACAGAGAAAAAAGAAAUAGCUUGGCAACUCCAUCAGGCAGAGAAGGUGGCUUUUGAAAAGGAAAAUAGAGUUAAGAAGGCUGAAGAAAAAGUGCUUAAUCUUGAGAAGCAAAUAGGUUCACUGAAAGCUGAUUUUGAAGCAAAAGAGAAGGAAUUUGAUGAAAUGAAGUCAGUGAUACUUAAAAGGAAAGAGGAAGAACUGAAAGAAUUAGAAGAGAGACUGAAUGCAGAGAACAGCACAAAGUUGGCCGAUCUGAAAAAGAAGGCAGAGCAAAAAAUAGGUUCUAUUAGAAAGCAAUUACUGUCUCAGGUGGAAGAAAAGGAACAGCAAUUUAAGCAAGAUAUGCAGGAUCAAUUAAGAAAGUUGAAGCAGAAAGUACAGGAGAGAGAAGCCAAAAUUGAAUCCUUAGAAGAAAAAAUAAAGUCAAUAGGAGAUUCCACAGAAUUAGAGAAGGACAUGCUGGAAAAAGUAGAGAGUUUAAAAGCUGCUGUAGAACAAGAAAAAAAUAACUUACUUGAGAGUGUCCAACAGACAUACAAAGAGAAAAUGCAGGUAUUAGAGAAGGGCUUAACCGAAAAAGAUGCAUUGUUAGAGAAGCUGGAGAAGGAACAACGGGAGAGUAAUGACUGUCAUCUAGAACUGCAAAAGAAACAGAAAGAACUCCUUAAAAAACUAGAAUGUGUUGAGAAGAGCCAUCAGGAAGAGCAGGUUAGAACCAAAAGUCUCAGGAAAGAACUUGAGGAGCAAACCAAAAAAUAUUCAUUGUUAGUGGAUGAGCAUGCUUGUUGUAGUGGUGUUUUAGCAAGCAGUAGGGAAGAAUUGAAAGUUAAAGAACAAAAAUAUCUUGAUAUGGAGAAUAUGAUUGGAGAUUUACAGAAAAAAAUACAGGAAAAUGAGGCAGGCAGUCAGUCAUUAGAACAGAAGAUAAAAGAGUUAGAAAAUAAUAUAGUGAAGAAAAAUGAAGUGCAUAAGAUUGAGAUGGAGGAUAUGAGUUUAAGAUAUGAAGAAAAGCUAAAAUGUCUACAAGAACAAUUGGGUGAAAGAAAUGACAGUCUUAAAGCUUUUGAGGAAAAUGCUGAAGAAAAGGCCAGAUCUGUUUUGGAGCUGCAGAAGUUACUAGUUGAUAUGCAAAACCAGCAGAAGGACUUACAGACUAAACUGGAGGAGACUGAGCAGGAGAAACAGAAAUUAUGCAAAGAGGUGAAUAAUCUUCAAAAAGACAUGCGUACUCUGCGAAAGGAACAUCAGCAAGAGCUUGACAUAGUAAAGAAGGAGUCCCUAGAGGAAAUGGAGCAGAAAAUCAGAUCUGAACAAGAAGACAUUGAGUUAAAGCACAACUCUGCCCUAAAGCAGUUAAUAAGAGAGUUCAAUACUCAGCUGGCUCAAAAAGAGAGAGAAUUGGAAACAGCAGUAAAAGAGACAAUCAGUAAAGCCCAGGAGGUAGAACAUGAAUUGAUAGAAAAUCAUCACAUAGAGACAACACAGUUGCAAAAAAAAAUUGUUGAAAAAGAUGAUGAUUUAAAAAGAACUGUGAAAAAAUAUGAAGAAAUACUUGAGUCUCGUGAAGAAGAGAUGACAGCAAAAGUUCAUGAGUUGCAGGCACAGCUGGAGGACUUGCAGAAGGAAUACAAACAAAGGAUUGCGGAAGAGGAACAUUCCAUCAGUGAAAAAGUCACAGUAACAGAACUAAAGGCACAACUGGCACAGAAGACAACACUAGUCAAUGAUUCAAAACUGAUGGAGCAGGAAUUGAAAGAGCAGAUUCAUGUACUGGAAGACCGGCUGAAACAUUAUGAGAAAAAUACGUAUGUCACAUCAGUUGGAACACCAUAUAGAGAUGGAAACCUUCACCAUACUGACGUUUCCCUGUUUGAGGAACCCACUGAGUUUGAAUACUUGAGGAAAGUGCUCUUUGAAUAUAUGAUGGGUCGUGAGACAAAGACAAUGGCCAAGGUUAUAACAACAGUGCUGAAGUUCCCAGCAGAUCAGACUCAGAAGAUACUAGAACGAGAAGAUGCUCGACCAAUGUGUCCACAUUCAACUGGACUCCUUUUCUCCCUACUUCCCUCUUCUUCAGUGGAAUAUCACAUUCCAGCUCUAGGUUUGAGUUUAUAGCUACAGUGAGAAAAAAAAGCAAGCAUGUUUUCUUUACUAGUAUUUUUCUUCAGUUAGGACAUACUUCUGAUAGCAGUGGGUACAAUAAGACCAAAGCAAGUUCAAGCAUCACUACUAUUCUGUGGAUGUAUUUUCUAAAUUAAAAAGUAUCACAUCUGAGGAAAUUGCUAAAUACUUCAAACAUUUUCCUGUACACUUAGUAUGUUUGAGAGUCUUGCAAUCUUAAAUAUUUUAAAUACUUUUAGAAGAUAAAAAUAUUGAUUAUACUGCAGCUCCAUUUGCCUCACCUCGCAGUGGUAUCUUUUGAAUGUGCCACCAGUCUGUGCUUAGCUAGCGUGUCGUUGUGGCUACGACCAUCUUGAAGAUUUUGUGAUGAGAAUGUCAUGACAUUGCUGCUUAGAAAUACAUUUAUAUCUCUGUUCCCCUUGAGAAGGGACAAGAAGAAAAGCUAUUAUUCAAGGUUACAAACAGAACAGCAAGAACCAAAACUCGGCACCACCUUUGGACUGUGAAUACAAUAAAAACUGCCUUGGCAGAAAUGCUAAUCAGGGGUUAUUUGGUUAUUUCUCUUCUAUUGAAUACUGUCUUCUAUUUUGUGUUAGAGGUUAUUUUUUUAAAGGAGAGAAAAGACUUUAUCCUAGGAAAGAAUUGCCUGCUACUGUAUCUCUAUACAGAUUUUACUGGGUGUUUUUUAAAAGUUGAAAUAAAUGAUUUGUUUAUUUAUUUUUUUUUAUUUUUGAUUGAAUUGUGCAAUACAUCUUGGAUAGAUAGCAAUUGAGAUGAUUUUUCUGAUGAACUAGGCACUCUUGUUGACUAUUCUCUCCUGAUUUGAUCUUGAUUGUUUGCUAAAAGGUCACUUCUAUAUGCUUUUGCCUCCAAUAAAUCCAAAUUGCAGUACCUCGUUUGUUUACUCCUAGCUUUUGUACUUAUAUUUUCUGGAGAAAAGGUGUGUUCCUGUAAAUUGUAAAUAGUUACUACAUAACUGUAUUGUAUGCUGAUCUGUAACUGUUGACAACACUAAUAUGAAUAGAACUGAGAUGAAAUAAAGUUUAUUUACUGUAUAA
Molecule: RNA transcript, 7998 nt
Organism: Prinia subflava (tawny-flanked prinia)
Lineage: Eukaryota; Metazoa; Chordata; Aves; Passeriformes; Cisticolidae
Gene: GOLGA4
Gene name: golgin A4
Exons: 28
Source: RefSeq, a predicted model, not a curated record